UACGGAGGGUGCAAGCGUUAUCCGGAAUUACUGGGUUUAAAGGGUGCGUAGGCGGCCAAAUAAGUCAGAUGUGAAAGCUUACAGCUUAACUGUAAAAUUGCAUUUGAUACUGUAUGGCUUGAAUUAGGUUGAGGUUAGCGGAAUGUGUCAUGUAGCGGUGAAAUGCAUAGAUAUGACAUAGAACACCAAUUGCGAAGGCAGCUAACUAGGCCUAUAUUGACGCUGAGGCACGAAAGCGUGGGGAGCGAACAGG
Molecule: ribosomal RNA, 253 nt
Filed under: uncultured bacterium
Lineage: Bacteria
Description: partial 16S ribosomal RNA
Rfam family: Bacterial small subunit ribosomal RNA
Source: RNAcentral